Molecule: long non-coding RNA, 621 nt
Filed under: Phoenix dactylifera (date palm)
Lineage: Eukaryota; Viridiplantae; Streptophyta; Magnoliopsida; Arecales; Arecaceae
Description: long non-coding RNA (PDAC_LNC005592)
Source: RNAcentral
AAUGAAAAACAAAGAAAAUGAAAGUAGAAUUAAGUCAAAUUUCUUAAUCACUUGAAAACACACUUUAAGGAUGAAAUCAUUGCAAGAUUAUAUUUAAAUAGGGGGAGUUUAUUUGAAAAGUAUUGAUUUGGAUCCUUGACAUGCUUGUUCUUAAUAUUUUAAUGCAUGAUUUAACACAUGAGAUGUUUUGCAUAUGGUAUGAUGUCUUGAUUUAUGGGUUCUCAAUAUUUUGUAAUGCUUCAUACUUGGACAAUUUGAUUGAAUGUUUGAAUUGCUACAUAACAUUUUUUGUUUAGUUUUAUUGAAAAGAAAUUUCAGAUUUGUCAUUCACAAUCAUUGUUAAAAUCUGAAAGCUAAAUAAAAUUGUAGAAAGGAGAAGAGAAGAAUAUCUCUAUUUAGGGAAAAUAAAUUGAUAUUGAUCUAUCUUUCUACUUGCCUAACUUUGAUACAUAAUGUCCUAAUACUUGUUAAAAUAUCCUUUAUUUUGUAUCGAAACUCAAAAUAAAAUACAAAGAUUCUGAAAGUGCUUUAAUGUUAUUGAAAUAUGUAUUUUUCAAUCGUAACAAUUUAAGAUGAGCUACAUUGUGAAAGAUACAUAUCUCAUAUUAUGACUUAGAAAGN